ACCACACCUUCUUCUUAAAACUCCCUAACCUCGAGGUUUUGAAUAGGGUUUAUGAAUUCAGAACUCCAACAGCAUCCAUAGCUUCAUUCCAAUGGCUACUGCAUUUCUUGUCCGAAGAACUUCGACGAAAUUCCUCUUCCAACCUCGCUUCCAUUCUUCUUCCUCUUCUUCAGCUUCUCCAUUUCUUCCAAACCUCUGUUCUUCUCUUUUCCGAGAUUCCAAUUUCUCUAAUCAUGCAAUCUCUGUCCCUUUAUACUCCAGAAGUUUCGUCUCAGCUCCUGAAAGUUCUCUUGCUACUGCUCUCGGUACUGAUACUCGUGUUCCCGCCACUGUGAUCACUGGCUUUCUCGGCUCUGGAAAGACGACACUCCUCAAUCAUAUUUUGACAUCUCAACAUGGCAAGCGGAUUGCUGUCAUUGAAAAUGAGUUUGGUGAGGUGGAUAUUGAUGGAUCAUUGGUUGCCAGUCACUCCUCCGUAGCUGAAGACAUUGUGAUGGUUAAUAAUGGAUGCCUUUGCUGCACCGUGCGAGGUGAUCUGGUAAAGAUGCUAUUGGAGCUGGCCAAGAAUAAACGAGACAAGUUUGAUCAUAUUGUUAUUGAAACCACAGGCCUUGCUAAGCCAGCUCCUGUUAUAGAAACGUUUUGUACAGAUGAGCUGGUUUCACGUUAUGUCAAAUUAGAUGGAGUUGUAACUUUAGUUGAUUCCAAGCAUGCCAUGCAACACUUGAAUGAAGUGAAACCAAGAUUUGUGGUGAAUGAGGCUGUAGAACAAGUUGCUUAUGCUGAUCGGAUUAUAAUGAACAAGAUUGAUCUUGUAAGUCCAGAUGAAUUGGAGGAACUGACACUGAAGAUUAAGCGAAUAAAUGCGAUGGCCCAACUCAAGCGUGCUAAGUUUGGAGAUGUUGAUGUCGACUUCGUAUUAGGAGUGGGUGGAUAUGAUCUUGACAGAAUUGAUUCUCAAGUUGAAGCUAACACCCACAAACAUGAAACUGAACAUGAGCACAAGGGACAUGAUCAUCACCAUCAUCACCAUGACCAUGUACAUGACUCUGCUGUGUCUAGUGUUAGUAUUGUUUCUGAGGGAUUACUUGACCUUGAUGAGGUUGACGAUUGGCUCGAACGAUUGAUCGAGGAGAAAGGAGAGGACUUGUAUAGAAUGAAAGGAGUGUUGAGUGUAAAGGGUUAUGAGCAGCGUUAUGUCUUUCAGGGAGUGCACUCUAUCUUGGAUGGCUGCCCAGGCAAAGAAUGGGGCCCUGAUGAAAAGAGGGUAAACAAGUUGGUAUUCAUAGGAAAGAAUUUGGACGAAACUGCCCUUAGAAAAGGCUUUAAAGGUUGUUUAAUGUGAGAAGAAGCUGGUACACCAUCAGGUGCUAAUUUGGAUUUCACUCCGGAAAUUUCAUUUCAGUUUCGAUUCUAGUUCAAUGAUCGGGUUUAUGGCGUUUAGAAAUCUCGGCGAGUUCGAGUAAUCACGAAAGUAGCAAUGACUCGACUGAUUUCGACGUUCUGUUUCCUCGCGAUUAUCCUGAUCUUCUUGAUCGAGUAUGGUUUCGAUCACUUCUGUUUCUCUUUUUUACUUCUCGGAGCCGAUUUCUUUACGGUCAUUUCAAUGCUGUGUAUGUCUCUUGUGUCAUUUUAGCAGGUAGCUUCUUCAAUUAACUUCGCUUAGCCUUUUUCAUGGUUUUUUUCAUAUUGCAUUUAGCUUUGAUAAGUACUGUCAUGUUCGGAUUUCGUCUGUCAAACAAACUACAGGCGAAGAAAGCAACUGAAGCGGCGUGAAGCGAUAACAAACAGUUGAUCGUAAGUUUUGAGAACAUUUUGAUUUCUUUGGAAGGGGAGAAGCCUUUAUAGAUUCAUAAAACAGUGUGAAAUGAAGUUUCUGAUCAAAGCAAUUCUGCUUUAGGAGAAUUUCCAACUGUUGGACUUGAAUCAGAUCCAGAUCAUAUAACCUUAUGUAUCAGGUGAUGGUGAAGGAGGAAUUGAAGUGACUGAAAGUAUGCAAUUGAUUCGCUAAUUUUGUGAGACUGCUUCAUUGAUCCACUGAAAGCCACUCGGACCAUGGUGUUGCCCGGGUCAUUGGAAAGCCCUUACAAAUGUGAGGCUCAAGGAAGUCGCUUUCAACAUUCUUCCAUCAUCUUCGGCGUCUAGCUUAGCUAGUUGGUAGAUAUUAUUGUUGAUUCCAAUCCCCUGUUCACCGGCGUCAUUGCCUCCUUUUCUGGUAAAUAUUACAUACUUUUUCUGUCACUGAAUCAACACCAAAACUCACAGCUCA
Molecule: RNA transcript, 2269 nt
Organism: Cucurbita pepo subsp. pepo (vegetable marrow)
Lineage: Eukaryota; Viridiplantae; Streptophyta; Magnoliopsida; Cucurbitales; Cucurbitaceae
Source: RefSeq, a predicted model, not a curated record